This 529-nucleotide ribosomal RNA is filed under the name Dipetalogaster maximus. RNAcentral's name for it is "partial 16S ribosomal RNA". It matches the Rfam family "Bacterial large subunit ribosomal RNA", at positions 1808 to 2609 of the family's 2925-position model. Lineage: Eukaryota; Metazoa; Arthropoda; Insecta; Hemiptera; Reduviidae. The record is from RNAcentral.
CAAAAACAUGUCCUUUUGUUUUAUUUAUUUAAGGUCUGACCUGCCCAAUGAGGAAUUGAAUGGCCGCAGUAUUCUAACUGUGCUAAGGUAGCAUAAUCAUUUGUCUUUUAAUUGAGGGCUGGAAUGAAGGGUUGGACGAAAUAUUAACUUUCUUUAGUUUAAUUUUAUGAAUUUAAUUUUUGAGUCAAAAAGCUUAAAUUAACUUAUAGGACGAGAAGACCCUAUAGAUCUUUAUAAUUUUAUAUUUUAGUAAUUUAGGGAUUGUUUUACUUGAAGUAGAAGAAUUAUUUUGUUGGGGUGACUGUAGAAUUUAAUAAACUUCUAUUUAUUUAUUUCAUUGAUUAGUGUUUCUUUGAUCCAUAUAUUAUGAUUAUAAGAUUAAGUUACCUUAGGGAUAACAGCGUAAUUUCUUCGGAGAGUUCAUAUUGAUGAAGGAGUUUGCGACCUCGAUGUUGGAUUAAAAUAAGUCAUAGAUGCAGGAGUCUAUUUACUAGGUCUGUUCGACCUUUAAUUUUUUACAUGAUCUGAG